Molecule: long non-coding RNA, 531 nt
Organism: Hyla sarda
Lineage: Eukaryota; Metazoa; Chordata; Amphibia; Anura; Hylidae
Exons: 3
Source: RefSeq, a predicted model, not a curated record
UGAGGAAACAGCAACCAAAUAUUCGGCUACUACUAAUCUUUACUUCUUGUUCUUUGGCCUCUCAUUCUACAUCUUACUGUGAAACAGAUAUCGGUCCAUACACACCGAGGAAAUCUUGGUCCACAUAUGCUGAUGCCAGAACGGUCCCGGUUCAUAUACACCGCUUGUUACUACUAUGGUCGGUUGCCAAGGACAACCCCGAGUUUUGGAGCCUAAGUCCAAGUAUCAGGGACUGUAUUCCCUCUGAUUUACUUACUUUCCUUUUUUCUGCUGCCUUUACAUACUACGGCCGGUUGCUAGGGGCAACCACAAGAUAUGGAACCCCAGCCCUAGCAACAGUGACCGCACUUCCCUUUGUUUACUUACCUGCUCUGUGUAUGCUGUGUUUACUUUCAGCCCUCACUAGACCUUUUGCUGUCCCCCAGGAAUGGAUACAUUAUGCCUUUAUUUAAUAUUAUUCAAUCAAGCUAUAUACACCCUGUGAUCUAUACAGCGAUAUUGAUAUGGCCUCAUUUUUCGCAUGGGGAUAAU